Sapajus apella (tufted capuchin) is the source of this 161-nucleotide long non-coding RNA. RefSeq lists it as uncharacterized. The transcript is spliced from 2 exons. The record is from RefSeq and is a predicted model, not a curated record. NCBI's taxonomy places the organism in Eukaryota, Metazoa, Chordata, Mammalia, Primates, Cebidae.
GAUGUGGAGCCAGAGUUAGCAAAAGUGAAAACAGCAGCAGAGAAGAGAAGCAUUGGAAAAAGGAGAAGCAGAGGCCAAAUCAGCAGAUGCUGAAAGAAGAGGGAAGCAGAACAGGGCAAAGUCAGCAGAAGGUAAAAUAGCUGCAGAAAGGAGAAGCAUGG